GAUAAACGCUAGCGGCAGGCUUAACACAUGCAAGUCGAGGGGCAGCAUAGAUUGUAGCAAUAUAAUUGGUGGCGACCGGCGCACGGGUGCGUAACGCAUAUGCAACCUACCCGUCACAGGGGGAUAAUCCGGAGAAAUCUGGUCUGAUACCCCAUAACAUAUGGAUCGGCAUCGGUUCAUGUUGAAAUUUUCGGAGGUGACGGAUGGGCAUGCGUAGCAUUAGCUUGGUGGUGAGGUAACGGCUCACCAAGGCGACGAUGCUUAGGGGGACUGAGAGGUUUUCCCCCCACACUGGUACUGAGACACGGACCGGACUCCUACGAGAGGCAGCAGUGAGGAAUAUUGGUCAAUGGGCGCAAGCCUGAACCAGCCAUGCCGCGUGCAGGAUGACGGCUCUAUGAGUUGUAAACUGCUUUUGUACGAGGGUAAAGUGGGUUACGUGUAACCUUUUGAAAGUAUCGUACGAAUAAGGAUCGGCUAACUCCGUGCCAGCCGCCGCGGUAA
RNAcentral lists this ribosomal RNA (504 nucleotides) under uncultured bacterium. Its description in RNAcentral is "partial 16S ribosomal RNA". It matches the Rfam family "Bacterial small subunit ribosomal RNA", at positions 28 to 523 of the family's 1533-position model. The record is from RNAcentral.